RNAcentral lists this ribosomal RNA (264 nucleotides) under uncultured bacterium. Its description in RNAcentral is "partial 16S ribosomal RNA". It matches the Rfam family "Bacterial small subunit ribosomal RNA", at positions 793 to 1055 of the family's 1533-position model. The record is from RNAcentral.
GUCCACGCCCUAAACGAUGUCAACUAGGUGUCGGGAGCGCAAGUUCUUGGUACCGCAGCUAACGCGUGAAGUUGACCGCCUGGGGAGUACGGUCGCAAGAUUAAAACUCAAAGGAAUUGACGGGGACCCGCACAAGCGGUGGAUGAUGUGGAUUAAUUCGAUGCAACGCGAACAACCUUACCUACCCUUGACAUGUCCGGAAUCCUGCUGAAAGGCGGGAGUGCCCGAAAGGGAAUCGUAACACAGGUGCUGCAUGGCUGUCGU